Molecule: ribosomal RNA, 460 nt
Filed under: uncultured bacterium
Lineage: Bacteria
Description: partial 16S ribosomal RNA
Rfam family: Bacterial small subunit ribosomal RNA
Source: RNAcentral
CCUACGGGUGGCAGCAGUGAGGAAUAUUGGUCAAUGGACGAGAGUCUGAACCAGCCAAGUAGCGUGAAGGAUGACUGCCCUAUGGGUUGUAAACUUCUUUUAUAUGGGAAUAAAAUGUUCCACGUGUGGGAUUUUGUAUGUACCAUAUGAAUAAGGAUCGGCUAAUUCCGUGCCAGCAGCCGCGGUAAUACGGAGGGUCCGAGCGUUAUCCGGAUUUAUUGGGUUUAAAGGGAGCGUAGGUGGAUUGUUAAGUCAGUUGUGAAAGUUUGCGGCACAACCGUAAAAUUGCAGUUGAAACUGGCAGGCUUGAGUACAGUAGAGGUAGGCGGAAUUCGUGGUGUAGCGGUGAAAUGCUUAGAUAUCACGAAGAACUCCGAUUGCGAAGGCAGCUCACUGGACUGCAACUGACACUGAGGCUCGAAAGUGUGGGUAUCAAACAGGAUUAGAUACCCCAGUAGUC